UACGUAGGGGGCGAGCGUUGUCCGGAUUUAUUGGGCGUAAAGAGCUCGUAGGCGGUUCAACAAGUCGGUCGUGAAAGUUCAGGGCUCAACCCUGAAAUGUCGAUCGAUACUGUUGUGACUAGGAUACGGUAGAGGUGAGUGGAAUUCCGAGUGUAGCGGUGAAAUGCGUAGAUAUUCGGAGGAACACCAAUUGCGAAGGCAGCUCACUGGGCCGCUAUCGACGCUGAGGAGCGAAAGCUAGGGGAGCAAACAGGAUUAGAUACCCUGGUAGUCCUAGCUGUAAACGAUGGAUACUAGACGUAGGAACUGGAUUGACGGUUUCUGUGUCGUAGCUAACGCGUUAAGUAUCCCGCCUGGGGAGUACGGUCGCAAGACUAAAACUCAAAGGAAUUGACGGGACCCCGCACAAGCGGCGGAGCAUGCGGCUUAAUUCGAUGAUACCCGUAGAACCUUACCUGGACUUGACAUAUAGGGUCUAGCUAUAGAGAUAUAGUGUGCAUUAGCGCCCUAUACAGGUGGUGCAUGGCUGUCGUCAGCUCGUGUCGCGAGAUGUUGGGUUAAGUCCCGCAACGAGCGCAACCCCUAUCCUAUGUUGCCAGCAUUUAGUUGGGGACUCAUAGGAGACUGCCGGUGAUAAACCGGAGGAAGGUGGGGACGACGUCAAGUCAUCAUGCCCCUUAUGUCCAGGGCUGCACGCAUGCUACAAUGGCAAGUACAACGAGUCGCAAUACCGCGAGGUGGAGCAAAUCUCUUAAAGCUUGUCUCAGUUCGGAUAGGAGUCUGCAACUCGACUCCUUGAAGUUGGAGUCGCUAGUAAUCGCAAAUCAGCAAAGUUGCGGUGAAUACGUUCUCGGGGUU
RNAcentral lists this ribosomal RNA (858 nucleotides) under uncultured bacterium. RNAcentral describes it as "SSU rRNA". It matches the Rfam family "Bacterial small subunit ribosomal RNA", at positions 524 to 1381 of the family's 1533-position model. The record is from RNAcentral.